This 369-nucleotide transfer-messenger RNA is filed under the name Actinomycetota bacterium. It matches the Rfam family "transfer-messenger RNA". From Rfam's summary of the family: Bacterial tmRNA, also known as 10Sa RNA or SsrA, is named for its dual tRNA and mRNA-like properties. Its role is to liberate the mRNA from a stalled ribosome. The record is from RNAcentral. Lineage: Bacteria; Bacillati; Actinomycetota.
GGGGGUGACAGGUCUCGACUCCGGAUGUCGAGGCAGGGGAAGCGGGUCGAGGAAGCCGACGAUGAUCUCGUUAACCAUCCGUCGGACACACACAAGCGCCGACAACAGUCCGCGCGCGUACGCCCUCGCUGCCUAGGUAGCAGGAGCGUCGCUGUCAGCCCGGGAGAGCCUCCGGCCCGGGACCUGGCAUCGCCAGGAGGACCACUGCGUGCCCCGGCCACGGGGGAGCGCAGUGAACUCACAGUGGCUGAGCCCGUUCCCGACUCGCUGGCGUGAUCGGGAGGGCUGAGAAAAGCGCAGUCAGCUGCACCCGGAGAAGCCCUGCUGCGGUGCCGGAGGACGCGGGUUCGAUUCCCGCCACCUCCACCG